GAAUAUACAGGAAAUUAUAGUAAGAAACUUCUUUUUAGAUUCUUUAGGGUACUGAUUCCCCUUCGCCGUCAAUUUUCAACGAGAACGCAAGUUUUCCAACGUGUAGCCGAAACGGCGGGCAACUGUUAUGUUUAACAACAAACCAGCUGUGUGGUAAAUAUAGAAAUAUGUAAGCGCAUGUACGCGUAGAUCAACACACUCACAGACACGCGCUUGUUGUUGCGCUCACUCGGCCGCACAAAAACAAGGAAGCAAUUUAAUAGUCAACAAAGUCAAAAGUUUUCAAUUUUCAGAUUUUCACUUCACUUAAGCGUUUGCCAUUCAUUUUUCAUAGACACGGGCGAUGAGUUUUGGAAAAUUUUAUCAAACUACUUACUUACUUACUCGCUCACUCACUCACACACUUAUUUACUAACAAAGCCACCGUUGGUACUACCUCUGUGCGGCUGCUGCCACACGCAUUACGAACUCAUUACCGCGCCUUCGCCGUUGCGCUCCAACUUAAUGCCAAGGCGAUGACUGGCGCAGCAGCUGCUGCCACUGAGGAGCAUGAGUCUGUGUGUGUGUGUGGAUUGAGCAUUCGCAUUCAAACAACUAAGAAAUCAACUAACAACAAUAACAACAAUGACAGCGGUAUUUGCAAAAAGAAGAAGAAAAGAAGCAG
Molecule: long non-coding RNA, 664 nt
Organism: Zeugodacus cucurbitae (melon fly)
Lineage: Eukaryota; Metazoa; Arthropoda; Insecta; Diptera; Tephritidae
Exons: 2
Source: RefSeq, a predicted model, not a curated record